RNAcentral lists this ribosomal RNA (434 nucleotides) under uncultured Ruminococcus sp. RNAcentral describes it as "bacterial SSU rRNA". It matches the Rfam family "Bacterial small subunit ribosomal RNA", at positions 341 to 792 of the family's 1533-position model. Lineage: Bacteria; Bacillati; Bacillota; Clostridia; Eubacteriales; Oscillospiraceae. The record is from RNAcentral.
ACGGGAGGCAGCAGUGGGGAAUAUUGCACAAUGGGCGCAAGCCUGAUGCAGCGAUGCCGCGUGAGGGAAGAAGGUUUUCGGAUUGUAAACCUCUGUCAACAGGGACGAAAAUGACGGUACCUGUGAAGGAAGCUCCGGCUAACUACGUGCCAGCAGCCGCGGUAAUACGUAGGGAGCAAGCGUUAUCCGGAAUUACUGGGUGUAAAGGGAGUGUAGGCGGGACUGUAAGUCAGAUGUGAAAUAUGCCGGCUCAACUGGCAGACUGCAUUUGAAACUGCGGUUCUUGAGUGAAGUAGAGGCAAGCGGAAUUCCUAGUGUAGCGGUGAAAUGCGUAGAUAUUAGGAGGAACAUCAGCGGCGAAGGCGAGUAACUGGACCGCAACUGACACUGAGGCACGAAAGCGUGGGGAGCAAACAGGAUUAGAUACCCUGGUA